Molecule: transfer RNA, 72 nt
Filed under: Marmota monax (woodchuck)
Lineage: Eukaryota; Metazoa; Chordata; Mammalia; Rodentia; Sciuridae
Description: tRNA.Ala
Rfam family: tRNA (bases 6-67)
About the family: Transfer RNA (tRNA) molecules are approximately 80 nucleotides in length.
Source: RNAcentral
GGGGUUGUAGCUCAGUGAUAAGAGCACUUGCCUAGCAUGUAUGAGGCACUGGGUUCGAUUCUCAGCACUGCA